UACGUAGGGUGCGAGCGUUAAUCGGAAUUACUGGGCGUAAAGUGUGCGCAGGCGGCUUCGCAAGUCGAGUGUGAAAUCCCCGAGCUUAACUUGGGAAUUGCGCUCGAAACUACGGAGCUGGAGUGUGGCAGAGGAAGGUGGAACUCCACGUGUAGCGGUGAAAUGCGUAGAGAUGUGGAGGAACACCGAUGGCGAAGGCAGCCUUCUGGGCCAACACUGACGCUCAUGCACGAAAGCGUGGGGAGCAAACAGG
This 253-nucleotide ribosomal RNA is filed under the name uncultured bacterium. RNAcentral describes it as "partial 16S ribosomal RNA". It matches the Rfam family "Bacterial small subunit ribosomal RNA", at positions 524 to 776 of the family's 1533-position model. The record is from RNAcentral.